This is a long non-coding RNA of Populus trichocarpa (black cottonwood), 731 nucleotides long. RefSeq lists it as uncharacterized. The record is from RefSeq and is a predicted model, not a curated record. NCBI's taxonomy places the organism in Eukaryota, Viridiplantae, Streptophyta, Magnoliopsida, Malpighiales, Salicaceae. The transcript is spliced from 2 exons.
UUGACUCGGUCAAACUCGCAAAAAAACGGGUUGACUCGGUAAAAACGUAAAAAACGUAACGAUUCCACGAGUUAAUAAAAAAUUUCACUUUCACACCGUUUCACGCCUUCACGCUCACAGUUUCACUUCACCAAAAGGCAAACGCAGAGUUGCAGAGGGCAGACAAUUAGAAAUGCAAAAUUGCAAAGCACCAGUCUCUUUCCAGUUUCCAAGUCCCCAUCUCCCACUCUCCCCGUCUCCCUGACCUGACUCCUUUUCCCUUUCCCCUUCCCCCUUUCCCCUUUCCCCUUUCCCCAGCAAUUUAAGAAAUCAAUUUCCCCCAAUCUGGAGCGUUCUUGGCAAGACGAAGAUUCUGUAAUUUUGCAUAAACAACGAAGCAACGAAGCAGAUUUCCAGGAUUGCACUCUUGUCAAGGUCACUUUCCAUUAACUUUAACUAAGCUUCUUAAUUAUAUGUAAUUUGUCUACGUAUUCUGUGAAUGUGUUUAAUUGCUUGCUUGCUGUUUUUGUGUGUUGUAAUUUCUUGUAAUUAAGCUUCUUGAUUCUCGGUUCUCAAUGUGUUAAGGUCAGUCUUGGAUUGGAAUGCCUUUUGCAGUGCUUCUGUUGCUUUUUUGUGAAUUGUAAAUCGUUAGAUUACAUGUUGUCACCUGCCAUACUUCUGUAGUUUAAAUACUGGGAAACAAACAUUUCAAUUCCUUUGGCAAAAAUUUUACUUCCGAUUUUACGAUUUUA